ACCGAUUGCCGCGUUCGCGGACNANUCCUCCUUCGAGUCGGGUUGUUCGCUAAUGCAGCCCCAAGCAGGUGGUAAGCUCCAUCUAAAGCUAAAUAUAACCACGAGCCCGAUAGUCAACAAGUACAGUGAUGGAAAGUUGAAAAGUACUCUGAAGAGAGAGUCAAAUAGCCCGUGAAGCUGCCAGUAUGGGAUUAAGCGCACGUAUGACGCGUGUCGUCGGCCAAAUAGGCGACUGUUGGGUGUGCACACUGCGUGUGACUGUUGGCGGGCGUCUACGCUCGUCGGCU
Molecule: ribosomal RNA, 287 nt
Filed under: Litoscalpellum discoveryi
Lineage: Eukaryota; Metazoa; Arthropoda; Thecostraca; Scalpellidae
Description: partial 28S ribosomal RNA
Rfam family: Eukaryotic large subunit ribosomal RNA
Source: RNAcentral